Molecule: ribosomal RNA, 253 nt
Filed under: uncultured bacterium
Lineage: Bacteria
Description: partial 16S ribosomal RNA
Rfam family: Bacterial small subunit ribosomal RNA
Source: RNAcentral
UACGUAGGUGGCAAGCGUUGUCCGGAUUUACUGGGCGUAAAGCGCACGUAGGCGGAUUGUUAAGUUAGGGGUGAAAUCCCAGGGCUCAACCCUGGAACUGCCUUUAAUACUGGCAAUCUCGAGUCCGAGAGAGGUGAGUGGAAUUCCGAGUGUAGAGGUGAAAUUCGUAGAUAUUCGGAGGAACACCAGUGGCGAAGGCGGCUCACUGGCUCGGUACUGACGCUGAGGUGCGAAAGCGUGGGGAGCAAACAGG